UACGGAAGGCAGCAGUGGGGAAUAUUGCACAAUGGGCGCAAGCCUGAUGCAGCCAUGCCGCGUGUAUGAAGAAGGCCUUCGGGUUGUAAAGUACUUUCAGUCGUGAGGAAGGUGUUAAGGUUAAUAACCUUAGCAAUUGACGUUAGCGACAGAAGAAGCACCGGCUAACUCCGUGCCAGCAGCCGCGGUAAUACGGAGAGGGCUAGCGUUAUUCGGAAUUAUUGGGCGUAAAGAGCGCGUAGGCUGAUUAGUAAGUUAAAAGUGAAAUCCCAAAGCUUAACUUUGGAAUUGCUUUUUAAAACUGCUAGUCUAGAGAUUGAAAGAGGAUAGAGGAAUUCCUAGUGUAGAGGUGAAAUUCGUAAAUAUUAGGAGGAACACCAGUGGCGAAGGCGUCUAUCUGGUUCAAAUCUGACGCUGAGGCGCGAAGGCGUGGGGAGCAAACAGGGAUUAGAUACC
This 456-nucleotide ribosomal RNA is filed under the name uncultured bacterium. RNAcentral's name for it is "bacterial SSU rRNA". It matches the Rfam family "Bacterial small subunit ribosomal RNA", at positions 340 to 786 of the family's 1533-position model. The record is from RNAcentral.